GACGAACGCUGGCGGCGUGCUUAACACAUGCAAGUCGAACGGAAAGGCCCUGCUUUUGUGGGGUGCUCGAGUGGCGAACGGGUGAGUAACACGUGAGUAACCUGCCCUUGACUUUGGGAUAACUUCAGGAAACUGGGGCUAAUACCGGAUAGGAGCUCCUGCUGCAUGGUGGGGGUUGGAAAGUUUCGGCGGUUGGGGAUGGACUCGCGGCUUAUCAGCUUGUUGGUGGGGUAGUGGCUUACCAAGGCUUUGACGGGUAGCCGGCCUGAGAGGGUGACCGGCCACAUUGGGACUGAGAUACGGCCCAGACUCCUACGGGAGGCAGCAGUGGGAAAUAUUGCACAAUGGGCGGGAGCCUGAUGCAGCAACGCCGCGUGCGGGAUGACGGCCUUCGGGUUAUAAACCGCUUUCGCCUGUGACGAAGCGUGAGUGACGGUAAUGAGUAAAGAAGCACCGGCUAACUACGUG
RNAcentral lists this ribosomal RNA (468 nucleotides) under uncultured bacterium. Its description in RNAcentral is "partial 16S ribosomal RNA". It matches the Rfam family "Bacterial small subunit ribosomal RNA", at positions 28 to 507 of the family's 1533-position model. The record is from RNAcentral.